Galleria mellonella (greater wax moth) is the source of this 2858-nucleotide long non-coding RNA. RefSeq lists it as uncharacterized. The transcript has 2 exons. Lineage: Eukaryota; Metazoa; Arthropoda; Insecta; Lepidoptera; Pyralidae. The record is from RefSeq and is a predicted model, not a curated record.
AAAUCUUCUCUCUUUGACUUCGAGUGUUCCCGAACGUCGAUCGAUAAAAUUGAAUUAUAUUUCUGAGAGUAUAUUACCAAUUAUAAUGUAAUACAUAUUAAAAUUAAAUCAUAAAAUGUUCUUUAGUUAAAAAUAUUCUAUUACUGUGACAUCGCAACUAUAGUGAACAAGUUUAUUGGCAUCAUAGAGUCCAUUAUGCUCGUAUUAGUCUCACCUGUGACCUAUCCUCACUAGUGCUCCGUCAGUAUACCGUUAGCACGAUUGGAGUUACUACUGUAUGCCAUUAUCAUCCAAGAGAGAAGGAAUUGUUAGUAAUGGAGAGAUUAGUCCCCAUUGCUAUCAAUAUACCUUAUCAGGUCGACCUCCAUGCGGUUCCCCAUGGAACUGUGAAUUGAAAUGAAACAUUGAAUUUGUGUAUAGUGUAUAAUGAUAGUGUGGAUGAGGUUACAAUUUCAUUAUCAUCAAAAAACAUACUACCCCUCGAGUUACCCACCAACCAAUGAGAAUUUUGACCCAAAAUCUGAUCUUGUUGCAGACAAAUGCAAGAAGAUGAUCUACAUUUAAGAAUUGUCAUCGGAAACAAUUGAUUCAAUUAGAAGUUAUGCAGUGUGAUACAGAUAGAUCUGGAAUUAUAAAAAUUAAGCAUAUUAAUGUAAAAGAAGAAUCAGCCAUAAUUAACAACAUGUUUUUGGGCAAAGAAAAUUGCAGUCCUAUAGAACAGUAUGAAGAUUGUAAAGUGAAGAGUAAAUUGGAAGAAGAACCUUUUAAGUGUUUUAAAACUGAUUCAAAAAAUUACUUGUAUAAUAUGGAUGAAGUCCAUAAAUAUAUGCAGCAGGAAAGGAAAAUUGAAUCUUAUAAGUCUUCUCCGUGUGAUACCAAUGCGUACAGAAAAACACUGAAAUGUCAUAAUGGAUCUGAACACCACAUUUUACGUGUUUAUACUGGCCAGAAACCAUAUAUUUAUAAUUAUUAUAAAAAACCUUAUACACCAAAAUCAUAUUUUCAUAUUAAAGAAAAACCAAAUGGUAUUGAUGUGUGUAAAAAAUGUUAUAACACAAAUGCACGUUUGAAAGAGUAUGCAUGCCAUACUGAUGAAAUGCAAUUCUAUUGUGGUUUGUGUAAAAAAUUGUCUUAAAACAAAGCAGCAUUUGAAACACCACUUGCAUAUUCUUGCUGUUGAAAAACGCUAGAGUUGUGAUGUGUGUAAAAAAAGUCUUCUAACAAAAAUAUCAUAUGAUACUUGCAUAUUAUACACACUGCUAAAAAGCCAUAAUAGUUGUCAUGUAUGUAAAAAAAAAUUAAAACAAAGACAGCAUUUUACACAGCACUUGUAUAUUUAUUAAAAUUGAAAAUAAAAUAUAAUUGUGACCUAUGUAAAAAUAUUUUAGAACAAAGAGCACAAAAGUACUUAUGAUAGAUAUUUAUAUAUCUAUAUAAAUAGGGCAUCUCUUUCAUAAUUAAUCUCAAUAUCUGCAGGAUCUUUUAUUUUUAUGUAUAUAAAAGAUAUACUAAAAAUAUUUUUUAUAAAUUUAAAUACCUACAUUAACAAUAAUAAAAAGGUUUUCUCUGGUUCUGAAAAUUGAUGCUUUAAUGUUCACAUUACUAGCAUUCUACUAGACAGAACCUUUAGUUUUCUCCAAAAAUAUUUCUAGUAAAUGUUACAUAUUAUAUAGACAGAUGAGCUCACAUAGCUCAUAUUGUAACUGUUAUGUACAUUCAAAUCUCACAAACACAAUAAUAAUCAAAUUUUGAUAUUAAAUGUGGAAUGUCAUAAUUACCUCUGGAUAUAGCUCUUUAGUCUGUACUAUUAUGCUCUUUUAACUUUUGUAUACUACAUACAUUGUAAAAAUAUUUUUACAUAAUUAUACAUCAUACACAGUUUUUUAAAAGUAUAAAUAUGUAAGUGCUGUAUCAAAUUCUAUGCUUCAUUUUAAUUUUUUUUUUACAUACAUCACAACUAUUAUGGCCUUUUAGUAAUGUGUAUAAUAUGCAAAUACCAUAUAAAAUAUAUUUUGUUGUAAAACAUUUUUUACACACAUCACAAUAAUAGAGUUUUCCAACAGUAUAAACACUGUGGAAGUGCCGUUUCAAAUGCUGCUUUGCUUUAAAACAUUUUUUACACACAUCACAACUAAAUGGCUUUUCACCAGUAUAAUAUGCAUGUUUUUUAAAUGUGUAUUCAUAUUGCUUAUUUUGAUGUGUUAAUUAAUUGUUAAGAAUUUUCAAAAAAUUGAUAAGAUCAGAAAAACAGCAGGCUGUAAUAAAGGCUAGAGGGAACAAUACCAAGUAUUGUUUUAAUUUUUUUUUUAUUCUUACCAUUUUUUGUUUAAUUUCCAAAAUACGGUAUGAGGGUCAUUUGAAAAGUUCUUAGCCUAGCAUGGUUAGUCAUUGGUUUUUUUUUUAUAACUACCCUCAUUUUGUAGUUACAUUAUUUAGCAACAAGUAUGCACAGUUUAUUCACAGUAACUCAUUGUUCGUUUACACGUGAUACCGUAAGUCAAGUCAGAGCUAUUUUUGAAAAUGGGUGAAAUUGAACAUCGUGCAGUGAUAAAAUACCUGAAUUUGAAAGGUUUAACUCCAAAAGCUAUACAUGAAGACAUGUCUGCUACUUUGGGUGAGUCCGCUCCUUCGUAUGCGUCUAUUAAAAACUGUGUGGCAGAGUUUAAACGUGAUCGUGAGACCAUUCAAGAUGAGCCCCGUAGUGGCCGGCCUUCGACUGCUUCCACUGAUCAAAACGUUUAUUUUGAGGAGUUAGACGAAGAUUUUUUUAAAACGGGUAUCGAAGCCUUACCGGGUCAAUGGAAAAAGUGUUCUGAGCUCGGAGGAGAGUAUGUUGAAAAAUAAAAAUAAACUCAAAA